Molecule: long non-coding RNA, 11010 nt
Filed under: Brassica napus (rape)
Lineage: Eukaryota; Viridiplantae; Streptophyta; Magnoliopsida; Brassicales; Brassicaceae
Description: long non-coding RNA (BNAP_LNC002283)
Source: RNAcentral
ACCUGUGUUUUAAAUGGCGCAUGGCGAUCCAAGGCGAUAAGGUGUGUGCCUUGCGCCUUGCGCCAUGGCGCAAGAAAGCGCUCGCCUUGAAGACCCACUUGAAGACUACGUUAGUUAUGUAUCCGUGCGUAAUAUACAAAUUUCAUUCACGUGAUUUUGCCUUUAUUAAAUAGUUUUUAUCAGAAGAAAGCCCCAUGAGAUUAGAGAAGAGAGUACGUACUAACCUUAUGCAAAACACAGUCCGUGAGAUCCAUGUUUUGUUAAGUUUUUAACUUUGCUUUUCUACAAGAGCAAGCUAGGGUUUUGAUAAGUUUUUAGACGUUUGGUUUUAAGUUUGGUUUAAGGUUGGUCCAUUUAUUAAGUUAGGGUUUCUACGUGGUUUAGUAUCGGUUAACGUCAUCGUCUCCAUAGCUCGCCUUUGCGUUGCCUUUUAAGGCACCGCCUUAUGACCAAUGCGCACUUGGCGAGCGCCUUACGGAACCCACCCUCGCCUAGGAGGUACAUGGCGAUGGAGCCGUCGCCUGAGUGCGCCUCGCGCCAUGGCGCAAAAGGCGAGCGCCAUUUUAAACACAGGUAAUAACUCUCCGGAACAGCAGACUUCUUCUUCUCCGCACCGGAGAGAGAGAACCAAACCUUAGGCCUCAGCACAGGAGGUAUCCCUUUCCUAAUCAACCUCUUCAACGUGAUCGCAUACUCAAAGCAGAGAUCUUCAGUGACAUCUUCAAUGCGAUACCACCAUCUCCGAUCAAUAGAAUAUCCGGCUGGAGAUACCAGUCAGUUCCUUUGCUGGCUUCGAGAGCCCACCAGACUCUCCCUUGGCUCCUCACUUUCUCUCUGACUUAGUUCAAGACGUUGACGUCGUCGACGUUUCCUUCCACCAUGAAACUGUAUAAGUCCUGGAAUUUGACGACAAUGUUGGCUCGUCGGGCGUGGAUGCUGGGGCGGGAUGGGGAUUUGGGAUUGGAGCUCCGUUGUUAAGUCUCUUUUGCUUUGGAUACCAAACAUCGUGGGUUCUUGUCUGAUUUUUUUCUCGUCAGUUUCGGACUAAUCACGAACAUGUCAAAAGGAAAAAACAGAGGAAAUGAAAAGGAAGCUCCUUUCUUGUUUGGAUUUAAAUUUUUUUAUUAAAAGUUGUAAUCUUUCAAUAUUAUAAUGGUGUCACGUUCUGCAAACGUUAUCUCUCUCUAAUCUUCAUCUCUACGCAGUCAAAAUAAUUUUUUUGAAUUAAAAAAUCAGAAGCAAAAGAAGAAACCAAAAACAAAUGAUCUGGUGAGGAACACUAAUACUAAAAAUGGAAAACAAAAGUUAUAAUAAAACGAUAACCCAGUAAACAAUGACAAAUUCGCCGUAGCGAUCAAACACAGAUCUAAAAACAUGAAACGCUUAAAACAAUGUCAAAUUCGCCGAAAUGAUCUAACACAUAUCUAAAAACAUGAAACGAUGAACUUACAUUAAGGUCAACCAGAAGCAUGUCAACCCACAUGAGCUCGCCACCGCGCUUCACAUUUCUCGCCUCCCAGAACUGCAACAGCCGAGCCUCAACGACGCCGGAGCACUUGCCGGACUUCAAGUCGGAGAAGAAGACUCUCGAAAUUACCAUAACAACACGAUUCAGUAUAUCAGAGGAGGAUGACUUACAAAUGAGAAAGACUCACAUAUUUAUACAGAUUUCCCACCGCUUGAGAGUCGAGAUCGACGCAUUGAAGAUCUCAUAGUGGGCGUCUGAAUUGAUGAGAAUAAACACACAAAAACGAUAACGUAUUCCGUUUCAGAUCUGUGGAGAAGGUGGAGAGUCAUCGUCGCCGUCAAACGAAUAAGACGGAAGAAUAGAGAUGACUCGCGGGAUGAAAUUAGGGUUUCACAUAUGCGAUUCCGGGCCGAGCAAACCGUCGGGAAUGAAGCCCAUAUCACUAAUCUCACGCAAAUAGAGCAUCUGUUCUAAUGGGCCCGUCAAAUCUUUAUUCUUCACGGCUAAGCAGAUAACGCGCGACGAAGCCCACUAACGAAUCUUCUUUAAUGAAAUGAUGCGCUUUGAGGGGGGGGGGGAGCUAAGCAGAUAACGCGCGACGAAGCCCACUAACGAAUCUUCUUUAAUGAAACGAUGCGCUUUGAGGGGGGGGGGACGCGUGGCGGCAGGAGAGCGCUUGACUUUCCUACGUGGACGAAUGUGAGAGAAACAAACAAUUUUAUAUAUAUAUAGAUAUCCCACCAUAAUUCGUUGGAUAUUUUGGAUAGAAUUGCUCUUGAAUUCUAAUACGAUCUAUGAUUUCUAUCAUUUAUUGUUGUUCUACAAAAAUCUAUUUUAAUUAUUUUAAAAACAACAACAAAUAAAUAAAGUUUUAAAACUUUGCGCGAUGUUUACAAUUUCCAGCAUCCGAGAAUUUUUUAUGAUAACUUGCUUGUCAACUUAAGUGAUCAUACCCAGUAGAGGAACUAGGAAAAUCUUUAAAGACGGUCAAUUUUGAAGUUAACAUACAUUAUAGAGGUUAUUUAGCUAAAAUGUGCAAUAAUUAUCUAGAUUUUUAAGAAUUAUAUUAGUAAGGGUUGGGACAUUCUCACAUUCAUACACCCUGGCCCUAAUCAAAGAUGGCUCUCAAAUAUGUGCCAUGAUACCUUCUUAUGUCUUGUCAUCGUCUUUUGGUUGCAGUGUGAACACUGAAUUUUCACUUAUUUGGGGGUUGGAAGAAAGAUUUUUUCGUUUCUCUUCUUGUUUACAUUUUUUUAGUCUGCGUUCGUAACUUAUUGUUUCUAGAGUUGGAAAGUAAUUUCUUCUUGUUUACAUUUAUUUUAGUCACCGUUGGUAACUUUAUGUUUCUAGCGUUGUAAAGUAAUUUCAUGUGGUCAAGGUUCUGUGACCUUCUCUUCCAAUUUUGGUGCUUCUUCUUUCUUUUAGAUUUUAGUGUUGUAGUUAAUGAAUUUUGGUGUACCCUUUAGGCUCUUUUCACUUACCAUGCCUUCUUGGUUCUUUCCUGGUUGUACUGGGUCCGAUUGGUAUAUAAGCCGUUUUCAUUAUGUUUAGGUUUAAUUUUGUGUUCUUUUUCGCGGUUACGGUUUCAUGGGGUGGGGUCAUGAAGCUUUUAGUUCCAACAUUACGUUUGUCUUGAUUUGUAAUUGUAGUUUUUUUCUUAAUUAUGCGACUGAUGAUUGUGAAUUAUGAUUAGUCUCCGCAUGUUUGAUUUGUUAUGAAACUCAAUGUUAUGAAAGUGAUUAGACUUUAUGUUUUCUUAGCUAUGAAACUGUCACUGGGCUUCUAUAGGUGACAUGGAUAGCAUUACCAUGAUUUUUUUUUUGUCAAAUUUUUUUAAUUCAAUAUUGUAACAUAAAAGUUGAUAUGAUAUAUCGUAUAAAGAAAACAAAAAUAAACUCUUAAAAAUAAUCUAAUCCUAUAGAAAAUAUGAUAUGACAAAUACAAUCCAUAUUUUGGUUGGAUGUUGCGAAUACAUUGAUGUCCGAAUGAUCUUAUUCAACAUUUUUUAAUAGUUGAAAUGUUUUUUUUUGGUUCAAAACGAGCUGUAAUCACUUUCAUUGUCUACACGAUAAAAGUUAUCUAAUUAAAAAUAUAUUUUUUCUUUUGUAAUUAAUUUUUAAAUCACCAUUAUCUGGGUAAUAGUUUUAGUAUUAAUAUUAUCUUAUCAGAAAAUCAAGAUUUGCUUACCAUUAAUAAAAGAAAAAAAAAAUCAAAAAGAAGAUUUUAUACCAUUUAUAAAAAAAAGAAAAAAAUCUGCGGUUUUGGAAAAUAAAAACAAGAGUAAUCUAGAAGACGUGAGUACCAAAGCCACCUGUUCUGUCUUCUUCACAUGGCUUUUUAAGUCAAAAUCAUUUCUCUCCUCUUCAUUCUACUGAUCAUCCUCGAGAAGAAACUUGUAACAACCCAACAACAGCUAAUGGAUCCUCCCUUCGGCCACUCACACCACCACCACCAUCACCACCAACGCGACGACAACGAAGAUGAUCGUCAAUCCUUCGCACCACCACCGCCACGCAACAACUUCGUCGAUGCUCCACCGCCCCCUGGUCAUUACCACUCACAGCCUCAUCUCGAUCCCUACGCGCCUCCUCCGCCAGUACCGUCGCCUUACGGAUCCGAACCUCAAUACAACGCCUACGCUCCUCCUCCGCCUUACUUCGAAGCUCCGGCACCACCGCCUCAGUUCGGUCACGUGAGCCAUGUCAGCCACCACACUUCCGAAGAACCAUACCCACCAGACCACCACCGUAACGGAGCUUACCCGCCGCAUAAUUCGUCCCUGGAAAGCUACGGAGACAGCACCGGCGGCGUCGUGCACGUGUCCCACCAUAGCUCACAUCAAACCGACAUGCCUUCUGGUUUCCACCACCUCCCUGAUGAUGAGAACCGUCUUCCUGAUAACCUCGCCGGACUCGCCGGAAGGCAAACGGUGAAGGUGUAUUCCAAAGCAGAGCCUAACUAUUAUCUGACGAUCAGAGACGGUAAGGUCAUUCUCGCCCCAGCCGAUCCUUCUGAUGAAGCUCAGGUAUUAUUAUUACAUCAUCUCUCUCUCUCUCUUACAAAGAUCCAUACUUUAUGCUUUCUCUGUUUUGUUUCAUUGUCCGAACAUGUUAUUGUAAGUUCAUUUUAUCAUUUAUUAUUACAGCAUGUCUCUUUCGCCAAGAUCCAAACUUUAUGCUUCCUCUGUUUUGUUUCCUUGUCGGAACGUGUUAUUGUAUCUGUUUAGUUCUUGUAUGAUUGAAUCUUGUUAAUUAGAAACAGAGGUUUUACAAAACAGAACAUGUUAUUGUAACAGUUUUAGUUCCUGUAAUAUUGAAUCUCUGUUGAUCCAUCUGACGAAGCUCAUGCAUUAUUACAACAUGUCUCUUUCGCCAAGAUCCAAACUUUAUGCUUCCUCUGUUUUGUUUCCUUGUCUGAAUACAUGUUAUUGUUACAUUUUCAGCUCUUGUAAGAUUGAAUCUUGUUUUACUCUCUCCUACAGUAGACUUAACUUUGUACUGCAAUGUGCAGCACUGGUACAAAGACGAGAAGUACAGCACUCGUGUGAAGGACGCAGAGGGCCAUCCUUGCUUCUCUCUUGUAAACAAGGCCACUGGUGAAGCCGUGAAGCAUUCUGUUGGAGCUACACAACCCGUAAGGCCUUUCCUUGGACGAGAGUCUUUUGUCAAUGUUGUUUAUAUCUUUGGUGGUAUGGUAUUUUCAGGUGAAUCUAGUCAGAUAUGAUCCUGAUACGCUUGACGAGUCUGUGCUGUGGACUCAGAGCAAGGAUCUGGGUGACGGAUAUCGAACGAUAAGAAUGGUGAACAAUGUGGGGUUAAACGUUGAUGCGUUUCAUGGUGACAGCAAAUCUGGUGGUGUUCGUGAUGGCACAACUAUCGUUCUUUGGGACUGGAACAAAGGAGACAACCAGCUUUGGAAGAUCUUUCCUUUCUGUAAGCUUUUUCUUUAACCUUUUAUUUGUUUUAUAAUAUGAAAUGGCGUUGGUCAAAACGGGAAGUAGAAUUCUAAUGAGCUUAAUGUAUCAUCAAGUUGUGACUUGACUUUGACACCAUGGUUAGAUCAUGUCCAUAAGAUGAGUGUUGUAAGAUAAGUAGAGAAGUAUAUUGUCAUCCUCUCUCUCUCUUUUUUAACUGACUGUUGUAACUGCAGGAAAAUUGGCGGGUGAGAGUGGUAAAAAGUGGUUAUGUGUAAUGAAUAAAUAAACAAAACUCGGUUUUGUUCAUUGUUGUUGUUGUUGUUGUCUUGUAAAACUUGAGUUUGUGAUAUUGGGAUCUGUAAUCUUAUUUUUCAAAUCGUAUCUUAAAGUAUGAAAUAUUACAUAUGUGGUUUAUGUGUUUUUCUAAUAUGAUUUGAAAUCUUUUUUCUAUGUUUGUUGAAAAGAUACAGAAUUUUAUUGAAUCAUGUUUGAUAAUGUAUUUUAUCAAAACUUGCGCACACGUUUAUAUGCUUUCUGACUACAGCUGUGUUCUUUGUUUGGAUUGGCCCCAUCAACUAUAAUGUAUCAACAACACAAUCAACAUGCGAUCAUCAUUUUGACAAAUCAUCUAGUAUUUAAUGUUGAUCACCACGGCACCUGCAAGCUAUGAGCUAUCCACACGUGUAUAUAGACAAUGAAGUAAGAUAUUGGUAGACCAACCACAAAUUAAAUGAUAUAUUGUUUCUAGCGGUUCCAAAUGCUAAUAUUUAUUUCGUUAAUAUUGGUUUAAUAUUACUGAAAAUAGUAAUCAUACAAAUGUUGUAUUUACCAAAAUUUGAUUCUCUUCUUUCAUAUAUGCAAAAUGUUGAGAAAACAAUUAUUUAGGAUUAGACAGAAUAUUAUUUAAAGUGAUACUUCAGUAGAGACUGUAAUUUAUCAAGGUUAAGUUAUGAUCAAACUGAUAGAACAUCUGUUUGGUUAGACCAACUCAAACAAACUAAGCAUUUUGAUUUGAAGUUUAUUUUUUCCUACGUAAGAUAAAGAGUCUUCAUAGGCUUCAUAGGCCUCAACUCAAGGUCAAGUUAUGUUUCUCUUUUUAAGCCGUGGUGCUUGAGUUUGGAGUCUUCAUAGGCCUCACCGAUCCUUCAACGUUUUCUGCUCUAGCAUCAGACAAUUCAACGGCCACGAUCGCAACUUCGUUCAGAUUGGUUAUAUUUGUUGGUUGAUUCUCUGUAGAUGUGAGUUUUGGCAAAUCCGUUUUCUUCGAAUCGUGAUACAUCAUGUAUAGUAUCAUCUGAGCUAUACCGAACAAAAAUCCAAGAAUGUUUGGCAUCUGAAGACAAAACAAUAGAGUAUAAUUAGUAUAUAGUAAUGUUAAAAUAAUGUAAUAUAAUAGUUAUAUAUUUACAGCAAUGAACUUGUCCUCGAUAAGAAGUCCAUAAAAGAACCACAUGACGGCGUUAAGAGUGAGAGACAAGGAGAGAAGCAACGGCAUGUAUUCCACACUCUUUGUCCUUAUCACCUUCCUCUACAAACAUGUAACACGUUACACGUCGGUUUUUCAAUUUCCAAAUCACAAUAUAAAUGACAAGAUGUUUGAAGAUGGUGAUGAUGGAUCACCAUAACGCUCAAGGGAGAAGCAAAGACGGCGAGACUGUAAGCAGCACAAACCCAUCCAACCGUUGAGACUCGGUGUUGUUUUGGAAUCAAAAGAUCAACGAGAAGAAUCAAGAGACCAAGUCCACCUAUGUUGCAUAUCAAUAUCAACUUCAACGUGAAUAUCUGCCAUCGUACAUCCACAUUGGUUAGGUACUUAGGUAUAGAGAAUAUCGCAAAUCAUUAGCCCAUCAACGUGUAUAUGAUUUACAAACCCUGGCCUCUCUUGGUGCGUAAAUAAUAUAGAGAAACAAGUAGGAGAUUUCAAUGAAACAUCCAAAGGUGUUGAUGCUAAUGAUGAGAUAGGCAUGUGUCUUCAUUAUUCCGUAGAAGAGAAGAAGAGUUGCACUUGCAAGUGCACAUAUGUAUGGUAUCGACUGAAACCCUUUUGAUGAUUUCUUCUUGUAUAUCCCGUAGAACGUUGGCCUGUAUAAACAUAUACAUAUUUAUAUGUACCUUUUAGAUAAAUUAUAUACACUACAAAUUCAUAAGUACGUGUCUUACACUGGAGACAAGAAAACCCCGAAAGACACAAUGUUGCCUGCAAGCAAAAGCCAGAGUCACGAGAGAUUUGUGUUAUAACCAAUAUGUUCAUAUAAGCAAAAUGGUUAUAAUACAUACAUACAUACAGAAUGAACAAAGAGAAGUCAUUCUAGUAAUAACACAAUUUAUUUGAAUCAUAUAUAUAUAUAUAUGCAUAUGUACUCUAUUGAGAAUAUAUUAUGUUACUUUUUUGGUAAAAUAUUAUAUGUCACUUUCAUAGUUGAUUUUAGUUAUGUUAUUUUUUUUCUAAGAAACAUAAAAAAACAAUGGGAGUUAAUUACCCAAAAGACCAAAAAGAAAAGCAAGUUGAUGAACUUUGAUGAACACCAUUCUUCACUUCUCUCGUCCUGAUCUCUUUCACUCUUUUGCUAGUUUAAGGUUUGCUUUGAUGUUUGUUCCUUCAUGCAAACCCCCAUUUUAUAUUGGUAUUCCAGGAGAGCGAGUCAUUCUUGUCUUCCUUUUUCAUUUACUUUUCUUUCUCUUUUUACACUAAACACAAAAGUUUGGCUCAAGUUGUCUUGGUUUUUGUUUUAUUGUACAUAUGUUUCAUAAGGGAGCACUUAAUUAGAAUUAUUGCAUGGCUCUUAAUCGUUUGUCAUUGGCUGUUUUCCUAAUUGUUAGGCUUCAAGGAAUCCGACUAAGAAUUUCACGUUAGGCUCAAAAAGAUAUAGAGUCAAAUCAUCCCCAUCAAUUAAUUAGCAAAUAUCACACACCUUAAGUAGCAAUCUCUGGAUUGUUCAAUUUCGUGUAUAUAACCAAGUUGAUUUGAGUAUUAUGUUUGGAGAUGCUCUACUCAUCAGUCACCAGCAAAUUAUAAGAAAUGACAAUUGUGUAAUCUAUUACAACCUUCCAUAUAUAACUGGUUUCAAGAACCAAAUGUGAUCAGAUUAUUUGGUUGCACAUAUCACAAUGAGAGGAUUUGUGAACAUAUUAAUCGAUAUCUCUCUCUAUAUUCAACAAUUUAGAGCUGAUCUUUAGAUUAAAGCUUAUCAGUUUUAGACGUCAAAUUUAAUAUAAAAAAUUAAGGGCAUCAAUGUAAUGACUGUUUUAGACAAAAAUUACAUAUGGCCGAACUAAAGCACUUGAGAAAGUAUUUUCAUUAAUUUUAUGAGCAACAAGUCAUGUGUGUGAGUUGGAGGCAUAAAUAUGUGUUGUUAGGAAUAUCUCCUGAAGCCUUUCUUGUUUGGGCUAUUUCUUUGUUUUAUUCUUAAAUUUGGUACUGAACAAGACAUAAGCUUAACGUUUAGACUAAAGCUAAGCAUUAUUCUUAAAUAUUUAUUAAGUAAAUUAUAUUAAGUUAAUCUUAUGAGUUGUGAGUUGCAAUCGAGAACCCCUUUCCUUUUAAUCAGAAGAUAAUUUAUUUUCGGUGAUGCAUGGAAUAAUACCAAUGGUAAACAAACAAGAAUACGAGGCCAGAUAUGAUCAACUUAACAACGAUCUUGUUGAAUACGCAAACACAUAACAUAAUGUUGAUUCGAGAAGUGACUUAAAUCUUAGUGCACCGAAUAUGAGAACAUUUGCCAUUUUAAAUUAUGUUGUGAAUUAUUCAUUCAUAUAAUUAGUAUACAAAUCCUAAAAGGAACAUUUGUAUUAAUUGAGUUUAUCUAUAAAUUUUCUUGAUUUAUUUGAAUUUGAUUCGCGUUUGUUCACAAGUAGAAGAUGCAGUUUGAUGAUAUCUCGGAGUAUACAUAUAAGUUUGAACCAAACACAGAAAAUGCUUCACAUUUGUGGAUACUGUACUUCUAGAGGUACUCUCUAAAGCACUUUUCUAGCCUUCUUGCUCUCUUAUCUUCCUUCAUAAUCUCGACCAGAUUAUAAUAUUACUUGGAUACUCCAAGAAACUGAGCAAAGCUUGGAUACUUCGGCUCCCAUCCGAUUUCCUCUCGUGUCCGUGAGUUGUUCAGCUUCUUCCCUAAAGGACCACUGGUGCCUACACAAAGCAAAAGUUGUCAGACUCUAUGAAAGUUAAGGCUUUCAACCAACAUGUCAGAUGUCUGAAGAAACUCACUCGUGAAACCUUUGAACUUCUUAUCAUAUUUUCCACUUUGAUCCAUAAGGUCCAUCACCUCUUGCCUGAGAAGAAUGUGUGAUGUUAAACAUGUAUCUGAAAGUAUCACAAACUUAGAAAAGAAGAAGUUGCUACCUUGACAAAGGAUGGUUGUCACAACCCACAAAAAUCCGACCACCAGCUUUCUUCUUCAUGAUUGCAACUGCCAACGAUGCUGCAUCCUAUUCAGAAACACAUUACAGAACAUGAUAAAAGACUUAUGUGAUAUGUCACAGAAUAAUAUAUGUUAUAUCAUACUGAAGUUCAUGGUCCUUGUGAGGCAAAUGAAAAAAAAUAUACCUCAUAGUGAAUGAGAUUCAGGAUAUGAUCAGGACGAGCAUCCACUGUCUCCUUACUCAACCAGUAAGUAUGUGCACCUCUUGUCUCUGUGUAUAAAAAGUUCAGGAGAAACAUAAUGCUCUAGAGACCAGAAAAAGCCUUUCAUCACUUGCUGAUUCAGCUUUCAAUAUAUCGAAACCCAAAAGGAUAUGUAAAGCCCUGCUAGUCUAAGGACGGUCCCUCCACUUUCCAACACUACUUGUUCAGCUCUCAAAAGCACAUCGGUUCUUGGGCUCUUUCCUAGUGGAACUACUGGAGAAUCCUGCAGUGAAGAGAAUCCAAUUCAGAAAUGAUUGAAUACUAUAUGUUCAUAUAUAUAUCAAAUGAUUCAGAGACUCUCUGACUAAACUAUGUUUAGUGAAAUAGAAUACUGAACCUCAUUGCAUUCUCCAUUAUCAAAGCAAUCAUAAGGUGCAGAGCUAGAUGUGAAUAAGAAUGAUCCUUCGCCGUUCCACUUUGAUGCUGCCAUCCUGAUUAUAAACACAAGCAAAGAAGAUUACUUCUCUGUCUAAUAAGAGGAGCCAUUAAACUUCAUCUUCUUCCAUAGCUAAUAAAGUUAACAGCAUGCAAGACCCCUAUUAUUGCAUUCAGUAGCAGAACUUAACGCACCAGCUGUUGAAACAAGUGAUUUUGUUGUAAGUUUACCUGAGCUCAGCGGCGUAAUCUGGGCUUUGUGAGGGAGGGGCACAAAAGAUCACAUAGGAGAAGUUGCCAUCAAACUCGGUUUCUUUAAGAGAUGGUUUGAUACCCAACUUCUCCAACUCAUCAUGAUGGUUUGUUGUUACUGUCUGCCCAAAUAUUUGACAAUCUGGAUGUUCCUGCUCCAACACACAUAAAGCUUCAACUUUUAACUUCCAUAUUGUGAACACAUCUCUUACUACUAACAUGACUCUUAUAAAAUCAACCCACAACAUAAAUGAUACACUCAGGACAUUUAAGAACAGGGGACUUACAGAACAUAAAAAAGGUUUUUAUUUGUUCGAACAAGAAACACCAUUUGUGCAACUACCAAAUUCUAGACCAUUACAUAGACCAAAACAG